RNAcentral lists this ribosomal RNA (253 nucleotides) under uncultured bacterium. RNAcentral describes it as "partial 16S ribosomal RNA". It matches the Rfam family "Bacterial small subunit ribosomal RNA", at positions 524 to 776 of the family's 1533-position model. The record is from RNAcentral.
UACGUAGGGGGCUAGCGUUGUCCGGAUUUAUUGGGCGUAAAGAGCGUGUAGGCGGCCAGGUAGGUCUGCUGUGAAAACUCGAGGCUCAACCUCGAGACGUCGGCGGAAACCAUCUGGCUAGAGUCCGGAAGAGGAGAGUGGAAUUCCUGGUGUAGCGGUGAAAUGCGUAGAUAUCUGGAGGAACACCGGUGGCGAAGGCGGCGUUCUGGACUGUAACUGACACUGAUGAACGAAAGCCAGGGGAGCAAACGGG